UACGUAGGGUGCGAGCGUUGUCCGGAAUUACUGGGCGUAAAGAGCUCGUAGGCGGUUUGUCGCGUCGUCUGUGAAACUCUGCAACUCAAUUGUAGGCGUGCAGGCGAUACGGGCAUCACUGGAGUUCGGCAGGGGAGACUGGAAUCCUGGUGUAGCGGUGAAAUGCGCAGAUAUCAGGAGGAACACCGGUGGCGAAGGCGGGUCUCUGGGCCGAUACUGACGCUGAGGUGCGAAAGCGUGGGGAGCAACAGG
RNAcentral lists this ribosomal RNA (252 nucleotides) under uncultured bacterium. RNAcentral's name for it is "partial 16S ribosomal RNA". It matches the Rfam family "Bacterial small subunit ribosomal RNA", at positions 524 to 775 of the family's 1533-position model. The record is from RNAcentral.